UGCAACUGCACCUGCCUUUUUCUCAUGG
RNAcentral lists this non-coding RNA (28 nucleotides) under Mus musculus (house mouse). The record is from RNAcentral. Lineage: Eukaryota; Metazoa; Chordata; Mammalia; Rodentia; Muridae.